UUGCUCUUUCAGCAGCACACAUAAAACUGGAAUGAUAUAGAGAAAGUGAGCAUGGCCCAUUGCACAAGGAUGACAUACAAAUUCGGGAAAUGUUCCAAAACCAU
RNAcentral lists this small nuclear RNA (104 nucleotides) under Moschus moschiferus (Siberian musk deer). Lineage: Eukaryota; Metazoa; Chordata; Mammalia; Artiodactyla; Moschidae. The record is from RNAcentral.